This 253-nucleotide ribosomal RNA is filed under the name uncultured bacterium. RNAcentral describes it as "partial 16S ribosomal RNA". It matches the Rfam family "Bacterial small subunit ribosomal RNA", at positions 524 to 776 of the family's 1533-position model. The record is from RNAcentral.
UACGUAGGUGGCAAGCGUUGUCCGGAAUUAUUGGGCGUAAAGCGCGCGCAGGCGGUUAAUUAAGUCAGAUGUGAAAGGCUACGGCUCAACCGUAGAGUUGCAUUUGAAACUGGUUGACUUGAGUGCAGGAGAGGUAAGUGGAAUUCCCGGUGUAGCGGUGGAAUGCGUAGAGAUCGGGAGGAACACCAGUGGCGAAGGCGGCUUACUGGCCUGCAACUGACGCUGAGGCGCGAAAGCGUGGGGAGCAAACAGG